AUUGAACGCUGGCGGCAGGCUUAACACAUGCAAGUCGAGCGGAGAUGAGGUGCUUGCACCUUAUCUUAGCGGCGGACGGGUGAGUAAUGCUUAGGAAUCUGCCAUUUAGUGGGGGACAACAUUCCGAAAGGAAUGCUAAUACCGCAUACGUCCUACGGGAGAAAGCAGGGGAUCUUCGGACCUUGCGCUAAAUGAUGAGCCUAAGUCGGAUUAGCUAGUUGGUGGGGUAAAGGCCUACCAAGGCGACGAUCUGUAGCGGGUCUGAGAGGAUGAUCCGCCACACUGGGACUGAGACACGGCCCAGACUCCUACGGGAGGCAGCAGUGGGGAAUAUUGGACAAUGGGCGGAAGCCUGAUCCAGCCAUGCCGCGUGUGUGAAGAAGGCCUUUUGGUUGUAAAGCACUUUAAGCGAGGAGGAGGCUACUAGUAUUAAUACUACUGGAUAGUGGACGUUACUCGCAGAAUAAGCACCGGCUAACUCUGUGCCAGCAGCCGCGGUAAUACAGAGGGUGCGAGCGUUAAUCGGAUUUACUGGGCGUAAAGCGUGCGUAGGCGGCUGAUUAAGUCGGAUGUGAAAUCCCUGAGCUUAACUUAGGAAUUGCAUUCGAUACUGGUCAGCUAGAGUAUGGGAGAGGAUGGUAGAAUUCCAGGUGUAGCGGUGAAAUGCGUAGAGAUCUGGAGGAAUACCGAUGGCGAAGGCAGCCAUCUGGCCUAAUACUGACGCUGAGGUACGAAAGCAUGGGGAGCAAACAGGAUUAGAUACCCUGGUAGUCCAUGCCGUAAACGAUGUAUAGUAGCCGUUGGGGCCUUUGAGGCUUU
Molecule: ribosomal RNA, 819 nt
Filed under: Acinetobacter tjernbergiae
Lineage: Bacteria; Pseudomonadati; Pseudomonadota; Gammaproteobacteria; Moraxellales; Moraxellaceae
Description: bacterial SSU rRNA
Rfam family: Bacterial small subunit ribosomal RNA
Source: RNAcentral